AGAUAAAAUACUAUAUAAUUAAUUUGUUGGCUUAAAGAGGCAGUAUUCUAUCUGUGGCGGGAGGUCAGGUUGGACUAAGUCACGUUCGAAAUAGCGGGAGGUUCGGUUGCGCCGAGUCAAUGUUCGAAGUAGCGGAAGAUUAAUUAUGUCAAGUCAUAAUCGAGACCCGUGGGUACUGUGUCUGUACGCUAUAAGUGAAUUGAUUGCAACUUUUUAAUGGUUAGCACCAACAAUCCGAUAAAUAGUAUCAGAGUAAGAGGUCGCAAGUUUCGACUCCCACAUGCCUAGGUUGGGACGAGUCACGUUCAAAAUA
This 313-nucleotide long non-coding RNA is filed under the name Ananas comosus (pineapple). RNAcentral describes it as "long non-coding RNA (ACOM_LNC031169)". The record is from RNAcentral. Lineage: Eukaryota; Viridiplantae; Streptophyta; Magnoliopsida; Poales; Bromeliaceae.